AGAGUUGAUCCUGGCUCAGGAUGAACGCUGGCGGCGUGCCUAAUACAUGCAAGUCGAGCGAGAAUCUCCUUGAAGCGUUUCGGACAAUUCUGUGGAGAGGAAAGCGGCGGACGGGUGAGUAACGCGUAGGCAACCUGCCCUUAGCAGAGGGAUAGCCAUUGGAAACGAUGAUUAAAACCUCAUAAUGCCAUUCUUACACAUGUUCGGAUGGCCAAAGAUUUAUCGGCUAAGGAUGGGCCUGCGUCUGAUUAACUAGUUGGUGAGGUAACGGCCCACCAAGGUGACGAUCAGUAGCCGACCUGAGAGGGUGAUCGGCCACAUUGGAACUGAGACACGGUCCAAACUUCUACGGAAGGCAGCAGUAAGGAAUCUUGCACAAUGGGGGAAACCCUGAUGCAGCAACGCCGCGUGAACGAUGAAGGCCCUAGGGUUGUAAAGUUCUGAUCUGUGGGAAGAAGAAAGUGACGGUACCACAGGAGAAAGCCCCGGCUAACUACGUGCCAGCCGCGGC
RNAcentral lists this ribosomal RNA (511 nucleotides) under uncultured bacterium. RNAcentral's name for it is "bacterial SSU rRNA". It matches the Rfam family "Bacterial small subunit ribosomal RNA", at positions 8 to 518 of the family's 1533-position model. The record is from RNAcentral.